CCAGUCGGCGGGGAGAGAAGACGGUGAACGGACCUUCGGGUUAGUGGCGGACGGCUGAGUAACGCGUAGGUAACCUGUCCAGUGGUGGGGGAUAACCCUUCGAAAGAAGGGCUAAUACCGCAUGAGCUUCCGGUGUGCGAACCACCGGAAGGAAAGUCGCAAGACGCCGCUGGAGGGGCCUGCGUCCUAUCAGGUAGUUGGUGGGGUAACGGCUCACCAAGCCUGCGACGGGUAGCUGGUCUGAGAGGACGACCAGCCAGAAGGGGACUGAGACACGGCCCCUACUCCUACGGGAGGCAGCAGCGAGGAAUCUUGGGCAAUGGGUGAAAGCCUGACCCAGCGACGCCGCGUGGGGGAAGAAGGCCUUCAGGUCGUAAACCCCUUUUGUCAGGGAAGAAGUUCUGACGGUACCCGACGAAGAAGCCACGGCUAACUACGUGCCAGCAGCCGCGGUAAUACGUAGGUGGCGAGCGUUGUCCGGAUUUACUGGGCGUAAAGGGCCUGUAGGCGGUCCGUUAAGUCCGGUGUGAAAUCUCCCGGCUCAACUGGGAGGGGUCAUCGGAUACUGGCGGACUUGAGGGAGGCAGAGGAAAGCGGAAUUCCCGGUGUACCGGUGAAAUGCGUAGAUAUCGGGAGGAACACCAGUGGCGAAGGCGGCUUUCUGGGCCUUUCCUGACGCUGAGGGGCGAAAGCGUGAGGAGCAGACCGGAUUAGAUACCCAGGUAGUCCACGCCCUAAACGGUGGAUGCUAGGUGUGGGGGGUGUCGACUUCCUCCGUGCCACACCUAAGCCUUUAAGCAUCUUGCCUGGAAAGUACAGCCGCCACGCUAAAACUCGUAUGAAUUGACGGGG
This 852-nucleotide ribosomal RNA is filed under the name uncultured Chloroflexota bacterium. RNAcentral describes it as "bacterial SSU rRNA". It matches the Rfam family "Bacterial small subunit ribosomal RNA", at positions 58 to 918 of the family's 1533-position model. The record is from RNAcentral. Lineage: Bacteria; Bacillati; Chloroflexota.